AUUGAACGCUGGCGGCAGGCCUAACACAUGCAAGUCGAGCGAGCGGCGGACGGGUGAGUAAUGUCUGGGAAACUGCCUGAUGGAGGGGGAUAACUACUGGAAACGGUAGCUAAUACCGCAUACCAUCAGAUGUGCCCAGAUGGGAUUAGCUGGUAGGGGGGGUAACGGCUAACCUAGGCGACGAUCCCUAGCUGGUCUGAGAGGAUGACCAGCCACACUGGAACGGAGACACGGGCCAGAAUCCUACGGGAGGCAGCAGUGGGGAAUAUUGCACAAUGGGCGCAAGCCUGAUGCAGCCAUGCCGCGUGUAUGAAGAAGGCCUUCGGGUUGUAAAGUACUGUCAGCGGGGAUGCGUUACCCGCAGAAGAAGGACCGGCUAACUCCGUGCCAGCAGCCGCGGUAAUUC
This 406-nucleotide ribosomal RNA is filed under the name uncultured bacterium. RNAcentral's name for it is "partial 16S ribosomal RNA". It matches the Rfam family "Bacterial small subunit ribosomal RNA", at positions 29 to 526 of the family's 1533-position model. The record is from RNAcentral.